GCAGUGAGUGGCCGAAUGGUUACGCUGUCCGCUUUGUAAGCGGAUGAUUCUGGGUUCGAUUCCCAUCUGCUCCA
RNAcentral lists this transfer RNA (74 nucleotides) under Culex quinquefasciatus (southern house mosquito). RNAcentral describes it as "tRNA-Thr". The stretch from base 7 to 68 matches the Rfam family "tRNA", at positions 6 to 65 of the family's 71-position model. From Rfam's summary of the family: Transfer RNA (tRNA) molecules are approximately 80 nucleotides in length. Their secondary structure includes four short double-helical elements and three loops (D, anti-codon, and T loops). The record is from RNAcentral. Lineage: Eukaryota; Metazoa; Arthropoda; Insecta; Diptera; Culicidae.